GUGGGGAAUAUUGGACAAUGGGCGCAAGCCUGAUCCAGCCAUGCCGCGUGUGUGAAGAAGGCCUUCGGGUUGUAAAGCACUUUUGUUGGGGAAGAAAACCUGUUGGUUAAUACCCGAUGGGAAUGACGGUACCCAAAGAAUAAGCACCGGCUAACUUCGUGCCAGCAGCCGCGGUAAUACGAAGGGUGCAAGCGUUACUCGGAAUUACUGGGCGUAAAGCGUGCGUAGGUGGUUCGUUAAGUCUGCCGUGAAAGCCCCGGGCUCAACCUGGGAAUUGCGGUGGAUACUGGCGGACUAGAGUGCGGUAGAGGGUGGUGGAAUUCCCGGUGUAGCAGUGAAAUGCGUAGAGAUCGGGAGGAACAUCUGUGGCGAAGGCGGUCACCUGGACCAGCACUGACACUGAGGCACGAAAGCGUGGGGAGCAAACAGGAUUAGAAACCCGAGUAGUCC
Molecule: ribosomal RNA, 450 nt
Filed under: uncultured bacterium
Lineage: Bacteria
Description: partial 16S ribosomal RNA
Rfam family: Bacterial small subunit ribosomal RNA
Source: RNAcentral